GAUGAACGCUAGCGGCAGGCCUAACACAUGCAAGUCGAGGGGCAGCACGUCUUCGGAUGGUGGCGACCGGCGCACGGGUGCGUAACGCGUAUGCAACCUACCUUUAACUGGAGCAUAGCCCCGAGAAAUCGGGAUUAAUACUCCAUAACAACAAGAAGUGGCAUCACUUUUCAUUUAAAGCUUUGGCGGUUAAAGAUGGGCAUGCGUGACAUUAGUUAGUUGGUGAGGUAACGGCUCACCAAGACUUCGAUGUCUAGGGGUUCUGAGAGGAUUAACCCCCACACUGGUACUGAGACACGGACCAGACUCCUACGGGAGGCAGCAGUGAGGAAUAUUGGUCAAUGGGCGCAAGCCUGAACCAGCCAUGCCGCGUGAAGGAUGAAGGCCUUAUGGGUUGUAAACUUCUUUUAUACGGGAAUAAACUUAGUUACGUGUAACUAACUGCAGGUACCGUAUGAAUAAGCACCGGCUAACUCCGUGCCAGCAGCCGCGGUAAUGUGACU
This 503-nucleotide ribosomal RNA is filed under the name uncultured bacterium. RNAcentral describes it as "bacterial SSU rRNA". It matches the Rfam family "Bacterial small subunit ribosomal RNA", at positions 28 to 530 of the family's 1533-position model. The record is from RNAcentral.